Lagopus leucura (white-tailed ptarmigan) is the source of this 2060-nucleotide long non-coding RNA. RefSeq lists it as uncharacterized. NCBI's taxonomy places the organism in Eukaryota, Metazoa, Chordata, Aves, Galliformes, Phasianidae. The record is from RefSeq and is a predicted model, not a curated record. The transcript is spliced from 3 exons.
UCUGCUGGCUAGAUAGAAUUAUGUCUGCAAUUCAAUGACAGUGAGCCCUUGGAGACUUCUGUCUGCAUAGUGGAUAAAGGGUGCUGUUUCUGCACAGGCAUAUGGAUCUGCUGCUCAGCCAUGGCUUCUGAGCUGUGACUUUCAUUGAGAUCUCAGGGAACCAAGACCUCAGAGUUAAUUGAGGCUGCAUGGUUUUGGAGAUCUACACCACAGGAGUGCCUGGGCUCUACCAGAAGACACCUGGGAAGCUGCUAUGAUCACCUGACAUUUGUCAUUCUUUUGGAAGCAAGGAAAUAGAGCAGCUGAGGUCUGAAGGAUGUGCUUCACUGAACAACACAGUCUUCUAAACUAAGAAAAGUCACUCAGGAUAUCCCAAAGAAAAAAUUGAAAACAAACUAUGAUCAGCUUGACUGCCAUAUCCUAUAUGUGCCAGAAAAAUUCUUUGAGGGAAAGGGAAUUCUGGUGACAUUGUACUCUGUCAGCUACCCAGGAAAGGGCAGAUUGUCCUUGCAAAGCUGACCAGCACCAGCUCUUCUCUGCAUUUGAGUCAGUCUCUGUAUAGCUAUGAUGGGCAGUGUGGGUUACUUCCUACAUUAGACAUAAGUAGAAGGGAAAAAACGUUUGCAGUUCUUGGCUUCAUUAUUUGGUACUCAGACACAAUUACUUGUCUGGCUCAGAACUUAAUUGGUAGCUCAAGCCCUGUUUGCUGCUUCCAGUCCAUAAGUCUUCAUGAGAGAAGCAACUCUUACAGCCAAAUGGCUGUAUUACUGAUUUAGAGCUAUGACAAUUAUCUGGAGUAAAGCAGCUAUGGGCUGUCUCUUUUAAACUAGAAACAAGUAAGUAUUUGGAAACAUUUAACAGAACUCUGACACAUAUCACUGAGUGCGCACAGAAAUCCCACAGCCAUACAAAAUCCAUAAAGCAUUUGAUACAGUGAGAUUUAAUGGUGAGCGUUUUUUACACUCUUAGUUAAACUGCUAUUCCAAAAGUAUUGGGAGAGGCUACUGAAGGAGCUAAUGUUAAGUUUUUCUAAGAUCUGGGGUACAAGACAUGUGAAUUAAUAUGUUACAAGUCUAUAACAUUGAAAGAUGGUUUAAAUACCCACAGAAAUGAGCAAGGCUGGGUGCAUCUGUCAAAAACUGUCACUGCUUAGUGGAAAGCAAUGGUUUGGUGCACCCAUCCUCUGCAAGCUCAAAUCCGUAUCAGCCCGGCACUGACAAAUCAAUUGUUUGCACAGCCUUAAUCUACGCUGAAUGAUAAAGUUAAGUAUUUAUUGUGGCUUCUCUUGCUUUUAUAAACCUUCUUGCUAAAUUAUUACUAUUAAUAAUUGUGUUAAUGUUUAUUGUGGCAGUAUUAAAAUCUAAUUGAGAAUAGUGCUUGGUGCUGUUCAGGUCUAGGGGAGGAGACAAAGCUCUCUCUGGCAACACAGUAAGGGAAAGAGCUUUAAAAGUAUACAAACAGAGCAAAGUAUUUAUUACUGUUUUUCCUUGCCUUGUGACUGGAUUCAGAGCUCAUUGAUCCUUGUGGACUUUGGAUCAGGUUCACUUCACUUUCCGUCCUUGUUUCUGUAUGGUUUUAAAACCACCAAGAAAUCCACAACAGUUUUAUGGAACUGAAGAACUGUGUAAGAAUUCUUUGCUUUCAGGAAUCCAACCUGGCAUAGGCUUUCAUUCCAUGGCUUAUCUUCAAUUUAAACUACAUCCCCAUCAGCUCCAGUGACCUAAUUUUAAAAUGUAAAUGCCAAUUGAAUGUGUUUCAUUAUUUCCUGUUACCAUAAUAGUUUACUGAAUGAAAAGUCAUGUCAGAACUGUUCUGAAUCCGUAUUUUCAUGUUCUUCUAAAACUUGUUUUUUUGAAUUGUAUAAAUGUAGUAACUACUCAGCAAACCUAAACAUUUCAGAUAUACAGUUCUUGCCUCAUGUCCUAGGUUAAAAUUUCAGGUGAAUUCUCACUGAGCUGACUGGUUUCUGACCAGGAAACAUCAUCCAAAACAGAGGGAGAUCAGAACAUAAAGGAAUUAAUAAUGAUAUCAUUAUCUGUCAGCAAGUGAAGCUGAACAAA